RNAcentral lists this long non-coding RNA (251 nucleotides) under Elaeis guineensis (African oil palm). Its description in RNAcentral is "long non-coding RNA (EGUI_LNC030176)". The record is from RNAcentral. Lineage: Eukaryota; Viridiplantae; Streptophyta; Magnoliopsida; Arecales; Arecaceae.
UCCGCACAUCUAGCUCAUCCAUUAACUGUUCCACAGGUGUUGCUUCUCGCAGGAUCAUCAUAUGGCACUCUUUUGUGAGCUGCUGGAUUCUCUGGAGCUUGCCAACUCCAUGCAGGGUUGAAAACUUCACCAUUAGAUGAUAGGUUGACGCUAUGGCUCGAAGUGUAACCGACCUAGAAUAACAUUGUACAUGGACGAGCUUUUUACCAUGAAGUAAUUUAUUAGCAUAGCCACCUGUUUUGGAGUUCGUC